GCAUAUCAAUAAGCGGAGGAAAAGAAAACAACUGUGAUUCCCCUAGUAAUGGCGAAUGAAACGGGAUUAGCCCAUCGCUGACUGCAGGUCGUCCUGGCCUUGUGGAAUGUAGCGUUUGGAAGGGUCUCUUCCAAGGUUCAGAUGCCUGUCAAAGUCCAACUUGACAGUGGCCACAGCCCAUAGAGGGUGAUAGGCCCGUAAGGCGGUUAUCUGACUUUGCUGACCCCUUCCCAGAGUCGGGUUGCUUGGUAGUGCAGCCCAAAGUGCGAGGUAAACUCCUCGUAAGGCUAAAUAUGACCCCAAGACCGAUAGCAAACAAGUACAGUGAUGGAAAUUUGAAAAGAACUUUGAAGAGAGAGUUAAGAGUACGUGAAACUGUAUGGCAGUAAACGCAGCCUUCCUCGAAGUUUCCCUGGUGAACCCAGCCUUGGGUUUGGCCAGCUCCUGUACUCGGAUCAGCAAUGACUGAGUGCGGGAUGUCUGUCUAAUCCACGGGUGCAACUUUACCAGGUGUUACGGUGGGAACUGUUGGGACCGGACCAAAGGCUCGGGAUGAAGUUCUCUCUUCGGAGUUAGCUCCUGAUGUCCUGGCUUCGGAUCCGACAGGCAUGUGACCAACUUGUACAGCAAGCAACCCUUCUGUUGCGGUUGGUCGUUCCCCACCGAGUAGGUCGGUGGAGGCUGUGACCCGUCUUGAAACACGGACC
RNAcentral lists this ribosomal RNA (707 nucleotides) under Centropages abdominalis. Its description in RNAcentral is "eukaryotic LSU rRNA". It matches the Rfam family "Eukaryotic large subunit ribosomal RNA", at positions 38 to 667 of the family's 3401-position model. The record is from RNAcentral. Lineage: Eukaryota; Metazoa; Arthropoda; Copepoda; Calanoida; Centropagidae.